RNAcentral lists this transfer RNA (73 nucleotides) under Chloroflexota bacterium. RNAcentral's name for it is "Chloroflexi bacterium (groundwater metagenome) tRNA-Ile". It matches the Rfam family "tRNA". Rfam says of the family: Transfer RNA (tRNA) molecules are approximately 80 nucleotides in length. Their secondary structure includes four short double-helical elements and three loops (D, anti-codon, and T loops). Further hydrogen bonds mediate the characteristic L-shaped molecular structure. tRNAs have two regions of fundamental functional importance: the anti-codon, which is responsible for specific mRNA codon recognition, and the 3' end, to which the tRNAs corresponding amino acid is attached (by aminoacyl-tRNA synthetases). tRNAs cope with the degeneracy of the genetic code in two manners: having more than one tRNA (with a specific anti-codon) for a particular amino acid; and 'wobble' base-pairing, i.e. permitting non-standard base-pairing at the 3rd anti-codon position. The record is from RNAcentral. Lineage: Bacteria; Bacillati; Chloroflexota.
GGGCCUGUAGCUCAACGGUUAGAGCAGGCGACUCAUAAUCGCUUGGUUGGGGGUUCGAAUCCCUCUAGGCCCA